Ictalurus punctatus (channel catfish) is the source of this 6231-nucleotide long non-coding RNA. NCBI's taxonomy places the organism in Eukaryota, Metazoa, Chordata, Actinopteri, Siluriformes, Ictaluridae. The record is from Ensembl.
AUUUACUGCCACAGAUUAUACUUAAUACUGGCUUAGUAUAUUAUUAAACAGCUAGCAAUAUUUUAGCAUGUUAAUUAAAGCUAAUUAAAUCAAAGUGGUUUUAAUAAAACUGACAUUACCCAAAUAAUAAAAGUAACUCAAAGUGAAGAGCUCCGGUUCAGUUAAACAGUGAAUUGUGAAUAAAAUUCUGUGUGGAGCAUAGGAUUGUGUUAGUUCUGAUACUCAAUCCUGCGAGUUUAGCUGAGGUGAACAAUCAUAGUGAAGACGUUUCGACGAGGACGCUGAAAAACGUGCUUCUUAGAUACACGCCUUCCUGUUCGGUUGGUACUCAUUUCGUUUGUGUUUAUUCGUAGCUAUAUUUACGUGUGUGUCGCGUAAAUGUCACAUAAUCCUGUUUCUUCUGACAAAUAACUUUCACUAACUGUGUAGCGAUUAAAAUGCAUUACUGCGAUGAUAUUGUAAAUGCUGUGAUACGUAAGGAAUAAAACACUCCGUGCCAUGCUGUUAUAGGAACAUAAUCAACAAACAAUGAAGUGGAGUUACCGAGUUACUGUUACCGGUCUGACAUUUGUUUUGUGAAACAUACAAAGGAAAAUGUGUGCACUCGUUGAAACGGAGAUGGAAGGAGUCUCCAGUGUCAGAGGUAACACUGUAACUUUACGUUUUCUGAUGUCUUCAGAACAGACUAGUUAGACCCCAACCUGACACGACUUUCUCAGUGACCUUCGUUCUUUUCACUGGUUGAGAGAAAUCUCUGAAAUGCCUAAGAGGACGGAACCGUAAUGAUGUCUGAACAAAAAUUUGACACCGUAGUCAUUUAUCUUGACUCCAACACCGUGAUAUGAGCUACUUAGCUGUGUUCGCACAUGUCCGGACCAAACCUUGUCUCUACACCGUCAGCUGCUCGUGUGUGAAGCGGAUCGGGUCAUUAGCCGUAUGUUAGCUUAGGAUGGUUCAGGUGUCACGGGACGCUUGAAGAAGCUCACAUUUAGUGCAGUCUUUCUAAAUGGAAAAUUCUCUAUAGAGGAUCAUUAAAGAGGAAACAGUGAUUUAAGGUUUUGUUGUUGACGUGCAUGUUCUGUGUCGAAUCAGCACUGACUCUUCUGUUCCAUCUAAAUAAAGUUUUCUAAAGCUUUUAGCAAAGAUGAACGCAUCACACUGCAGCUAGUGUGUUAGCUCAAACUCUUGUUAUUGUACUGAAACAUAACGUCAGUUCAGCAUACUAAUAUCGCACGCACCUAUAAAUCUGCUGAUUCGGCACCAACUGUUAAUUCACUUUAUUUAAGAUAGCUGUUACCUUUUUUAAUCUAACAACGCUUAGCUUACUGACCUGAGAUAUGACUCAUUAGAGUCAGGAAUAAACCACUGAGAGUGUGUGUGUGUGUGUGUGUGUGUGUGUGUGUGUGUGUGUGUGUGCACUGGCAUAGUAAAUUAAUCAACAACGGGGUGAUGUGAUUGAGCAGGGUUACCACCCGGAAGUGGAUUAUUUUCCUAUAACAACACGACCCCAAUGGUCCCCAACAGCAACUUAACAAUGAUUACAAUUAAUUUAUUAAAGAACAACAAAGAAUCUGUUGUGGAAUGACAUUACAUUAUAGCAGCUCUGAAUAGUCAUUUCCUCAACAGCCUCUCUUUAUUCUUUCUCUAAGACUAAAAAAAAAAACUGCAGCUUGUCGUGUUACAGAGAAACCGCAAAGUAGUAUAAACUCGUCUGUCCUGAAGAUGAACAAAACUUAAAGUUACAGCUUUACCUCUGACACUGGAGACACCUUCCAUACAUGUUAAAAAACAUCUCCUUACAAAUCAACGAUUACGCGGUUCAUACGUCCAUAGUAUAUGUCCCUCUGAACGGUCUGUUACUAUAGAAACGAUAGCGCAUUAGAUUCGAAUGAGCGCAUUAAUAUAAACCUGUGAUUUGCAACUGCACUACUGUCCGAGCUGCCGUUAUAGAGAAUUAAUCAACACCUCCUGACCAAUCACAAUCCAGAACAGCUUACAGACUCAAUUUUGAUUCAAAUCAGGAUUUCUCAGGACAUGUUCAUGUUCGGUGAACAGGAUUAUGGGAAGAGGUUUACACGUGUAACAAAUGCGUUAUUGUUAGCUGAUUUUCAGGACAUGCUUAUUCUGAAUUAGCAUGAUUUUGUCUUCUUAAAAGCUAGCUUACACACAGAGACGAGGUGUCCGUGACAACGUAUGUAAAUCUUCACUGUGCUUCAUGUUUUAUUUAUCCAUUUGGUAAGAAAACGGCGUUAUUAGCUGCCUGUGCUCACGGGAGAGUUCGCGAACUCGGUAACCCCGUGAAGCUCGAUGUUCAGCAGAACUGAAACAACGAGCUCUGAAACUUUACGAGGCUCGUAAAAAGGCCUCGCGACGAGGACGCUCAGCAGGGAGGACGAGAAACGAGCGGAGUUCCCUUCAAUCACACCCAUACUGUGAUUUAUCGAAAGGUGAAUUGGGAGUUGUGUGUGUGUGUGUGUGUGUGUGUGUGUGUGUGUGUGUGACGACGUUGUGAACGAGGCAGCAAGAAAAGUGAGGGACUUUUAGGGGCAGCUGUGUUCUGCUAACUCAGUCAUAAUGCCCCUGAAAAUCCUUAUUGCUCUUGCAAUGCUCAGCGAUGAUCCCGACAGGAAAGACUGAUCCUGCACUCCGGAAUCGUACACAACAGGAUUUCAGGAUUCUGAGAUCCCAGAUUCGGUGUGUGACUGUAAUAGGAGAUGUUCGAGGCAGAUAAAUGUUUCCUCUGUGUGUGUUGUCCUAAUUCAGGCCCGUGAUUCAUCUCCUCAUGUUAGUUAUCUCAUUUUCUUAUUCAUUUCUCUCUCCAUCGGUCUUUCUCCCUCUCCUUCUGUCUCUCCGUACCACUGUCUCACUCUCUCCAUCUAUGUGUCUCUCUCUCUCUGUCUGCCUGCCUCCCCUUGUCCCUCUCCUUGUCUCUUCAUCUAUCUGUGUGUGUGUGAGUGUGUGUGUGUGAGAGAGAGAGAGAGAGAGAGAGCAUUUUGGGAAUGUGAAUGGGGGAAUACCGGACUGAUCUCCAGGUUUGUCUCCCCAGCACAUAUAAAGCUAUUCUGCCUCUGGACUCAGAUAAAGAUAGAGAAAGAGAGAGAGAGAGAGACACUGAUACAGUUAGACUGUGUGUGUGUGUGUGUGUGUGAGUGUGUGUGUGUGUGUGUGCGUGUUUGUGUGUGUGUGUGUGUGUAUGAGAUGAUCAUGGAUGACUCAGACUCAUGCUCUUCUCUGAACAGAGAGAAAAAUGGGGAACACUGACUCAUCCAAACAUGUGGAAUCUCAUACGCUGAUCACAUGACCCAGCCUACUCCGCUUCUGAUUGGUCCCGGCGCUGGAUCGAGAUCAAGCAGUCCCACAUCCCCUUUUUUCCCCUCCCUACAUGAAUCCACAUUCUUCAUUAACAAUAAUUCAGCACGGGAUACUUUAAGGAGGAUGAACAGGAGCAAAACGUUAGACACAAGCGUUGUUUUUGGAGGAAAAUGUUUCAAAAAAGUUUACCAGAAUGACAGCGUAGUGUGGAUAAAAAACAAGCGCAGGUUUUCUCCCGUGCUCAAGUCGGCUAACACGCCCAGAACUAACCGGUGGAGAUUCCAAUAGAGCAAAUGGAGCGAUGGGGGUUCAUGAGUCAUCGAUGGAUUGGAACACGCCCUGCAAACGCAUGGCAGGUAGAAACUCCAGGCUCUCCUCCUACUCCUCCUCAGGCCGUUUGGGUGUGGGACGAUCGGCGUUAGCUGAGGAGGCAGAAGAAAAAAAAACAGAAAAACGGAGAGGAGUAAACAUAACUGACAAAGACAGGGGUGAACGAGUGCAGCCCCCUCCCUCCUUCUCUCCUUUCCCCUGCACACUCCUCCACUCCUUGUGGAGCCCCUCGAGUGAAAAACCAACCCAACCUGCUCCGUGCACAGGCUCGUUCGUGGAAACCUCGUCUGACGACCUCUUGUGCAAAUAUACGAGUGGUUACAAUGCGUUUGUUGUGGUCGUUUUUUCCUUGGGCGUUGUCCUGCUAGAACGCUCAGAACCUUCAACACUUUGUAGUUUGAUAUUUAUUUUUACGUGCCCCGGUAAUGUUUUUUUUCUACUUCCAAAAGUGACCUCGUUUCAUUCCGGGAGCCGUCAUCGCUGAGGCCUGCAGCGUCCUCUCAGGAAUUGACACUUGGACGGAAUCUCACAGUGUGAAGCGACCUGGAGCUCUCUGAGCGUCCGGCAUGGCAGCAAACAGCUUCUGAUGCGUUGAUGUUGCACAACGUGCCUGAAUAUGGGAGUGCAGGCUGCGUAAACAGUGUGCGCUUGGCUGUGGGGAGUGUGUGUACUUUCACCACCCUCGCCUCACGCUCCACUUCACCCUGACCACCACGCCAUUCAUGCACUUUAACUUUAACAAGUAGUGAACAUUUUUGACUACAGUGGUUUAACAUGGGCAGUCAUUUACUUGUCUAAUACACACUAUGGAUGCAGCAGGUUUUUUCGUUUGUCGUUACCAAAAUGAGUAACUUUCUUAGCAUUAAUGAAUCACAUACAUUACAGAACUGUUUUAUUUACCAUUGGUUGGUUGUUGUCAUGUGCCCGCGAUGAACUCCUCGUACUGAGUUUUAUGUUUAAGAUGUUUAAUACAGCGCAAGAAUGCGGUCUAGAGGUCGACAAGAUAGUGGAUUUAACUAAGUUGCGCUGCUGAAAACCCAUUAAUCAACUAAUCUUUUUGCUCAUAACCAGCAAUCGGUUAUUGGUGCCAAUUAAUCAGCAAAACCGAUCAACCGGCCGACCUCUAAUGCGGACCAACCUGGAAAGUGGGCAUGUCUCAGUGCUCGCAGAAGUGAAAUGAUCUCUGUCACAUGCGACAGUUUCUCUGUACACGCGCUUCACUGCUACUUUUGUGUUUGCACAAUUCAUAGCGCUCAAAAUGUAUGCAAUCUGAACUAACCUCGCGUACUUCGUGUGCUAAUUCGCUUUCAGUAAUCACUUAGAAAGGCAAAAUUCUUCCAAGUCUGUAAUCUUUCAUUGAAGUGCAGCGACGUUUCCUCGCCUCUAAACAGCCACACGUGUCAUGUGGGUAAUACGAAACGAGUAUCGAAGCUUAGUAGUGGACUUUGUAUCAAAACGUGGUUAUAGCUGUGUAUUCAUUGUUGCUAGGGAACUGGAUAUAUUCACGAUUUAGCUAGCCAGUUUAUGGCAGUUAAGUCGUCUAUAUGUGCAGUGACGAUGAAAACGAGUCAAAAAUAUCAAAAUUACUAGUAAAAUAUACUGUUCGUCUAAAACAAUACUGUACUUAUAUACACUUAGCAUCGCCCACCAACCAAACAUCUGCAUUACUGAGAUGUGAACUUUUUAUGAAGUGAAAAAACACACAAAUAGAGCAAGAGUGAACGUUUUUUAUGGAAUCUUCUGACCCGUGCCUGCAUUCAAAGCCUUUGAAGUCUUUUUUUAAAAAGGAGAAUCUCUCUCAUAAAUCUUAAUGCCCUGGACUGUCACAUGGCUCCUUGGUGUGUUUAAACGGCUCGUCUCAUUUUCAAAACAAAUUUCUCGUCACUUAAGUGAGAGAUAUUUUUAGGAUGUUCUGGGUGGAACUUCCCUUCAGGCUAUGACGAAAGAUAUGGUCUUUAGUAACAUGACGUGUUGUGCAACGCGCUAAUAAAUCUCACUUCGUGCAGCAUAACUAUUAAAACGGCUCUUUAAAGCAGAGAGGGAUUUUAGCCUUAAGGAUUUCAUAUCAGAGGAACAGAACCCUCAGAUUUCUCUGCUGUAGAAAACUCGAAACACUAAGAUGCUUUCAUAUUUGGCUUUUUUUUUUUCAAAAAAAAGAAAGAAAAAUCAUUGGCUGAUAUGAAAACAAAAGCCCACAUGCUCACAUGACCUGCACACUCUUGUAACCAUGACAACACUCUUACCAGUCCUAUCUAAGUUAAAGUGGGACGUCGCAUCCCAAAAAUACACACGUUCUUAUUUUUUGGUUUCAUUGUUGGAAUAUGACCAAUUAUUCAACUGUAAAAUGUAGCGUUCACUCGUUCACUAACGGAAAACUUAAAGUUACAGCUUCACAAAGCGCCAACACUGGAGACUCCUUCCACAAAUCUAAACCACAUCAAUGAUUGCACAUGUAUUAGAACGAGCGCAUUAAUAUUAAUAUAAACCCGUGAUUUGCAGCUGCGCUACCGUCAGAGCUGCUGUUCUUGAAAAUUAAUCAACACCUUCGGACCAAUCACGAUCCAGAAUCCAACAUCGCUGUGGGAUAAG